RNAcentral lists this ribosomal RNA (230 nucleotides) under uncultured bacterium. RNAcentral's name for it is "partial 16S ribosomal RNA". It matches the Rfam family "Bacterial small subunit ribosomal RNA", at positions 103 to 334 of the family's 1533-position model. The record is from RNAcentral.
CGGGUGCGGAACACGUGUGCAACCUGCCUUUAUCUGGGGGAUAGCCUUUCGAAAGGAAGAUUAAUACUCCAUAAUAUAUUGAACGGCAUCGUUUAAUAUUGAAAGCUCCGGCGGAUAGAGAUGGGCACGCGCAAGAUUAGCUAGUUGGUGAGGUAACGGCUCACCAAGGCGAUGAUCUUUAGGGGGCCUGAGAGGGUGAUCCCCCACACUGGUACUGAGACACGGACCAG